CGCCAGUGGCAUCGCCGGGUAGCUAUGUUCGGAAGAGAUAACCGCUGAAAGCAUCUAAGCGGGAAACUCGCCCCAAGAUGAGACUUCCCCGGAGCCUCGAGCUCCUUGAAGGGUCGUUCGAGACCAGGACGUUGAUAGGUCAGGUGUGCACGUGCAGUAAUGCACUGAGCUAACUGAUACUAAUUGCCCGUAAGGCUUGAUCCU
Molecule: ribosomal RNA, 204 nt
Filed under: Paraburkholderia silvatlantica
Lineage: Bacteria; Pseudomonadati; Pseudomonadota; Betaproteobacteria; Burkholderiales; Burkholderiaceae
Description: partial 23S ribosomal RNA
Rfam family: Bacterial large subunit ribosomal RNA
Source: RNAcentral